Orbicella faveolata is the source of this 1155-nucleotide long non-coding RNA. NCBI's taxonomy places the organism in Eukaryota, Metazoa, Cnidaria, Anthozoa, Scleractinia, Merulinidae. The record is from RefSeq and is a predicted model, not a curated record.
UCUUGCUUGUCUGACACUCCACCCAAAUGUGAAGUGUCCUACUGUAACCAGUGUGUUCUGUAAUUUUCAAGGGAGCUGACAACUGCCAUUAGAAGUAAAACCAACAUCGCUUUUGGAUUUUAUCAUUCCCUCUUUGAAUGGUUCCAUCCACUCUAUGAGAAGGAUCUUGCCAAUAACUGUACGACAUGGGAUUAUGUCAAGCGCAAGCGAAUAUUAAAGGCGCUGAACUGGCCGGAUGCGAGUUUGUUUUGUUGUGACACCAGUUCGAUACGAGGUGAUAAAAAGAACAAGCAAAUCGUAAUUCAAGUUCGUACUUCAUCAUGCAUGUGAUGGUGCAGUCCAAGAAGAAAGUAUGUACUUUAUACUGUACUUUAAAUUAAUUUUGGAUGCUUAAAAUUUCUAGGCUCCAUUUCCAGCUGUUUUGGGGGUCCGGUUGUUUAUCCUCCUCCCAACGAACGGCUGGAGUACUGGUCCGUAGUGCUUGUCUGUGACGUCACAUCCGCUUUUUAUGCAAAUUAUCAUGUGGGCACCUGCGGGCAGCGUGGGAAAAAAAAUGGCAGAGUUUGUUACUCCACAAAAAAUUAAACCUGUCAGCAAAGAUGUGUUCUAUGUGGAAAUGUUUUGGAUAAUUCAAGGAAAAGUGUAAAACUAAAAGAGGAACUUGUUUCAAAGCUACAAAAAACGGUAGCUAGCAAGAAUCUCGACUUUGCAACGAUUGUCACAAAUCACUGGGUAAACAAGUAUUUGAGUUAGUCAACAUCAUUGAUCCUGAGCCUGAAGAGCACAAUGCAAGAGAACUAUCCACUGAAACCAGGAAUCACGAGCCAGUGUUAUGUCCUCAGCCUGCCUCUGUUGUGAGACCUCUGUACCUAACUAGAGCUUUUCCUUAUCGCUAUACCAUGCAGCCAGGUUCUACCACUCUCGGUAGCAUGACUGAAUGUCACUAAUUCUGUAGAAUUUCCAAAGCGAAGAAGCUCCCGUGUGUAGAGUUGACGUAAGAACUCUUUUUUUUUGGCAAAAAAGAUACCAAAGUUUAAGGCUGCCAGUUCCUAUCCCGACUUCAGUGAUCCGACCACAAAGUGAACGAAAUUGCUUGUCCUAUUCAGGUAGACACAUGACGGUAAUAAAACUUGUAUCCUAGCUCAUGGUUUAGUU